This 757-nucleotide ribosomal RNA is filed under the name Chryseobacterium sp. Its description in RNAcentral is "bacterial SSU rRNA". It matches the Rfam family "Bacterial small subunit ribosomal RNA", at positions 90 to 849 of the family's 1533-position model. Lineage: Bacteria; Pseudomonadati; Bacteroidota; Flavobacteriia; Flavobacteriales; Weeksellaceae. The record is from RNAcentral.
AGAGAGCGGCGUACGGGUGCGGAACACGUGUGCAACCUGCCUUUAUCAGGGGGAUAGCCUUUCGAAAGGAAGAUUAAUACCCCAUAAUAUUUAGAAUGGCAUCAUUUUAAAUUGAAAACUCCGGUGGAUAGAGAUGGGCACGCGCAAGAUUAGAUAGUUGGUGAGGUAACGGCUCACCAAGUCUGCGAUCUUUAGGGGGCCUGAGAGGGUGAUCCCCCACACUGGUACUGAGACACGGACCAGACUCCUACGGGAGGCAGCAGUGAGGAAUAUUGGACAAUGGGUGAGAGCCUGAUCCAGCCAUCCCGCGUGAAGGAUGACGGCCCUAUGGGUUGUAAACUUCUUUUGUAUAGGGAUAAACCUAGAUACGUGUAUCUAGCUGAAGGUACUAUACGAAUAAGCACCGGCUAACUCCGUGCCAGCAGCCGCGGUAAUACGGAGGGUGCAAGCGUUAUCCGGAUUUAUUGGGUUUAAAGGGUCCGUAGGCUGAUGUGUAAGUCAGUGGUGAAAUCUCACAGCUUAACUGUGAAACUGCCAUUGAUACUGCAUGUCUUGAGUGUUAUUGAAGUAGCUGGAAUAAGUAGUGUAGCGGUGAAAUGCAUAGAUAUUACUUAGAACACCAAUUGCGAAGGCAGGUUACUAAGCAACAACUGACGCUGAUGGACGAAAGCGUGGGGAGCGAACAGGAUUAGAUACCCUGGUAGUCCACGCCGUAAACGAUGCUAACUCGUUUUUGGGGCUUCGGCUUCAGAGACUA